UACAGAGGGUGCAAGCGUUAUUCGGAGUUAUUGGGCGUAAAGAGCGCGUAGGUGGUUCGAUAAGUUUGGUGUGAAAUCCCUGGACUCAAUCCAGGAAGUGCAUUGAAUACUGUCGAACUAGAGUACAGGAGAGGUAAGCGGAAUUCCAGGUGUAGAGGUGAAAUUCGUAGAUAUCUGGAGGAACAACAGUGGCGAAGGCGGCUUACUGGACUGUAACUGACACUGAGGCGCGAAAGCGUGGGGAGCAAACAGG
This 253-nucleotide ribosomal RNA is filed under the name uncultured bacterium. RNAcentral's name for it is "partial 16S ribosomal RNA". It matches the Rfam family "Bacterial small subunit ribosomal RNA", at positions 524 to 776 of the family's 1533-position model. The record is from RNAcentral.